GAGGGCAUAGCUCAAGUGGCAGAGCGCACGCUUGGCAUGCGUGAGGUCCUGGGUUCAACCCCCAGUACCUCCU
RNAcentral lists this transfer RNA (73 nucleotides) under Camelus ferus (Wild Bactrian camel). It matches the Rfam family "tRNA". From Rfam's summary of the family: Transfer RNA (tRNA) molecules are approximately 80 nucleotides in length. Their secondary structure includes four short double-helical elements and three loops (D, anti-codon, and T loops). Lineage: Eukaryota; Metazoa; Chordata; Mammalia; Artiodactyla; Camelidae. The record is from Rfam by way of RNAcentral.